UUUAUCGGAGAGUUUGAUCCUGGCUCAGGACGAACGCUGGCGGCGUGCCUAAUACAUGCAAGUCGAGCGGACAGAUGGGAGCUUGCUCCUUGAUGUUAGCGGCGGACGGGUGAGUAACACGUGGGCAACCUGCCUGUAAGACUGGGAUAACUCCGGGAAACCGGGGCUAAUACCGGAUGCUUGUUUGAACCGCAUGGUUCAAACAUAAAAGGUGGCUU
RNAcentral lists this ribosomal RNA (218 nucleotides) under Bacillus subtilis. Its description in RNAcentral is "partial 16S ribosomal RNA". It matches the Rfam family "Bacterial small subunit ribosomal RNA", at positions 1 to 214 of the family's 1533-position model. Lineage: Bacteria; Bacillati; Bacillota; Bacilli; Caryophanales; Bacillaceae. The record is from RNAcentral.